This 2892-nucleotide ribosomal RNA is filed under the name Escherichia coli. Its description in RNAcentral is "bacterial LSU rRNA". It matches the Rfam family "Bacterial large subunit ribosomal RNA". Lineage: Bacteria; Pseudomonadati; Pseudomonadota; Gammaproteobacteria; Enterobacterales; Enterobacteriaceae. The record is from RNAcentral.
ACUAAGCGUACACGGUGGAUGCCCUGGCAGUCAGAGGCGAUGAAGGACGUGCUAAUCUGCGAUAAGCGUCGGUAAGGUGAUAUGAACCGUUAUAACCGGCGAUUUCCGAAUGGGGAAACCCAGUGUGUUUCGACACACUAUCAUUAACUGAAUCCAUAGGUUAAUGAGGCGAACCGGGGGAACUGAAACAUCUAAGUACCCCGAGGAAAAGAAAUCAACCGAGAUUCCCCCAGUAGCGGCGAGCGAACGGGGAGCAGCCCAGAGCCUGAAUCAGUGUGUGUGUUAGUGGAAGCGUCUGGAAAGGCGCGCGAUACAGGGUGACAGCCCCGUACACAAAAAUGCACAUACUGUGAGCUCGAUGAGUAGGGCGGGACACGUGGUAUCCUGUCUGAAUAUGGGGGGACCAUCCUCCAAGGCUAAAUACUCCUGACUGACCGAUAGUGAACCAGUACCGUGAGGGAAAGGCGAAAAGAACCCCGGCGAGGGGAGUGAAAAAGAACCUGAAACCGUGUACGUACAAGCAGUGGGAGCCUCUUUUAUGGGGUGACUGCGUACCUUUUGUAUAAUGGGUCAGCGACUUAUAUUCUGUAGCAAGGUUAACCGAAUAGGGGAGCCGAAGGGAAACCGAGUCUUAACCGGGCGUUAAGUUGCAGGGUAUAGACCCGAAACCCGGUGAUCUAGCCAUGGGCAGGUUGAAGGUUGGGUAACACUAACUGGAGGACCGAACCGACUAAUGUUGAAAAAUUAGCGGAUGACUUGUGGCUGGGGGUGAAAGGCCAAUCAAACCGGGAGAUAGCUGGUUCUCCCCGAAAGCUAUUUAGGUAGCGCCUCGUGAAUUCAUCUCCGGGGGUAGAGCACUGUUUCGGCAAGGGGGUCAUCCCGACUUACCAACCCGAUGCAAACUGCGAAUACCGGAGAAUGUUAUCACGGGAGACACACGGCGGGUGCUAACGUCCGUCGUGAAGAGGGAAACAACCCAGACCGCCAGCUAAGGUCCCAAAGUCAUGGUUAAGUGGGAAACGAUGUGGGAAGGCCCAGACAGCCAGGAUGUUGGCUUAGAAGCAGCCAUCAUUUAAAGAAAGCGUAAUAGCUCACUGGUCGAGUCGGCCUGCGCGGAAGAUGUAACGGGGCUAAACCAUGCACCGAAGCUGCGGCAGCGACACUGUGUGUUGUUGGGUAGGGGAGCGUUCUGUAAGCCUGUGAAGGUGUACUGUAAGGUAUGCUGGAGGUAUCAGAAGUGCGAAUGCUGACAUAAGUAACGAUAAAGCGGGUGAAAAGCCCGCUCGCCGGAAGACCAAGGGUUCCUGUCCAACGUUAAUCGGGGCAGGGUGAGUCGACCCCUAAGGCGAGGCCGAAAGGCGUAGUCGAUGGGAAACAGGUUAAUAUUCCUGUACUUGGUGUUACUGCGAAGGGGGGACGGAGAAGGCUAUGUUGGCCGGGCGACGGUUGUCCCGGUUUAAGCGUGUAGGCUGGUUUUCCAGGCAAAUCCGGAAAAUCAAGGCUGAGGCGUGAUGACGAGGCACUACGGUGCUGAAGCAACAAAUGCCCUGCUUCCAGGAAAAGCCUCUAAGCAUCAGGUAACAUCAAAUCGUACCCCAAACCGACACAGGUGGUCAGGUAGAGAAUACCAAGGCGCUUGAGAGAACUCGGGUGAAGGAACUAGGCAAAAUGGUGCCGUAACUUCGGGAGAAGGCACGCUGAUAUGUAGGUGAAGUCCCUCGCGGAUGGAGCUGAAAUCAGUCGAAGAUACCAGCUGGCUGCAACUGUUUAUUAAAAACACAGCACUGUGCAAACACGAAAGUGGACGUAUACGGUGUGACGCCUGCCCGGUGCCGGAAGGUUAAUUGAUGGGGUCAGCGCAAGCGAAGCUCUUGAUCGAAGCCCCGGUAAACGGCGGCCGUAACUAUAACGGUCCUAAGGUAGCGAAAUUCCUUGUCGGGUAAGUUCCGACCUGCACGAAUGGCGUAAUGAUGGCCAGGCUGUCUCCACCCGAGACUCAGUGAAAUUGAACUCGCUGUGAAGAUGCAGUGUACCCGCGGCAAGACGGAAAGACCCCGUGAACCUUUACUAUAGCUUGACACUGAACAUUGAGCCUUGAUGUGUAGGAUAGGUGGGAGGCUUUGAAGUGUGGACGCCAGUCUGCAUGGAGCCGACCUUGAAAUACCACCCUUUAAUGUUUGAUGUUCUAACGUGGACCCGUGAUCCGGGUUGCGGACAGUGUCUGGUGGGUAGUUUGACUGGGGCGGUCUCCUCCUAAAGAGUAACGGAGGAGCACGAAGGUUGGCUAAUCCUGGUCGGACAUCAGGAGGUUAGUGCAAUGGCAUAAGCCAGCUUGACUGCGAGCGUGACGGCGCGAGCAGGUGCGAAAGCAGGUCAUAGUGAUCCGGUGGUUCUGAAUGGAAGGGCCAUCGCUCAACGGAUAAAAGGUACUCCGGGGAUAACAGGCUGAUACCGCCCAAGAGUUCAUAUCGACGGCGGUGUUUGGCACCUCGAUGUCGGCUCAUCACAUCCUGGGGCUGAAGUAGGUCCCAAGGGUAUGGCUGUUCGCCAUUUAAAGUGGUACGCGAGCUGGGUUUAGAACGUCGUGAGACAGUUCGGUCCCUAUCUGCCGUGGGCGCUGGAGAACUGAGGGGGGCUGCUCCUAGUACGAGAGGACCGGAGUGGACGCAUCACUGGUGUUCGGGUUGUCAUGCCAAUGGCACUGCCCGGUAGCUAAAUGCGGAAGAGAUAAGUGCUGAAAGCAUCUAAGCACGAAACUUGCCCCGAGAUGAGUUCUCCCUGACCCUUUAAGGGUCCUGAAGGAACGUUGAAGACGACGACGUUGAUAGGCCGGGUGUGUAAGCGCAGCGAUGCGUUGAGCUAACCGGUACUAAUGAACCGUGAGGCUUAACC